AAGUACUGAAUUAGCUGAAUGAGGGAGCUUAGUGUCAUUGCACUUAUUAGUUUGACAACCAAAAAUAUUUAGGAAGUACAAAUAACACAACUGACAUUUUAGUUAUGAGCAAUUGUACUUUUACUUUGUUCUAGUUAUUACCUUCCAGUGAUGGGAUAUGAUGUGAACUUGCUUUCAUUUGGAUAAAACUAACCAAAGGCUU
Molecule: unclassified non-coding RNA, 202 nt
Filed under: Hevea brasiliensis (rubber tree)
Lineage: Eukaryota; Viridiplantae; Streptophyta; Magnoliopsida; Malpighiales; Euphorbiaceae
Source: RNAcentral